Lolium perenne is the source of this 1467-nucleotide non-coding RNA. The record is from RefSeq and is a predicted model, not a curated record. Lineage: Eukaryota; Viridiplantae; Streptophyta; Magnoliopsida; Poales; Poaceae.
CUCUCUCUCUCUCUCUCUCUCUCUCUCUCUCUUGCUUCCGUCGACGGCAACCAGCGCAAUGGCGGACACACGAGAAGAUCUUGACCUCCCUGCCUUCGCCGGCACGUCCUUAACUCCACGGCUACCUGUACUGGCGUAAUCUUAAUCUGCUGGCCGCCAUCCCAUCCCUGUCUCUUCCAACUUCGGGUGGGGUAAGGAGCGGCGGGUCCGGGGCGAGCAGCACGGUGGCACACCAUGGCCCUGCAGGCAGGCCGAGCAGCAGCAGCAACCUGCCCUGGCUAGGACGUAGAGCAGAUUUGAUUGGAGGAGUGAGGUGACCAUGCAUCACAUCAAUUCUCCCUUGGUACUUCAGUCAGGGCCUUACACUGCCAUCUACAAUCAACUAAUAUCAGCGAUCGUUAAUUCAGCAGGAGGUGUUCAUUUUAUGUCAGGCCAUGUGCAGGCCUACAAGUAGUACAUUUAUAUGGAAUGCUAUUGUUCCAUCCUUACCAGCUCAUGGCCGCGUAGUUUCAGCAUAUUUAUAUUUUCAAUAAUUUGUUCACGCCAUCAUUUUUCCGCUAACAAUUUUUUUUUAUCUUCUUCAUUCCAGCUGAGACAUCUUCUUAUGGUUGUUUAUUGUUGUGUGGAGUUUACAAAUGGCCUAAGAUUAUUUGAUCGACAAUGGCGAUAUGGAGAAUUCAAUAUGCAGAUUUUAUUACCAUUAGUAUUGUUAGUCCAGAUCCAAAAAGUUACAGUAUAUGUGGUUAAAUGAAGGUUCAAGGUGUGCCUGGUUUGAUCACUCCGGCAACCUGUCGGUAUUGUUGCCUGGUGUUGUGUGCACAUUUUCAGAAAAAUUGUUGGUGCUAAUGUUCUAUCAGGAUCUUCGGUGUAUCUUCUAUCUUUAGUUAGUGCUGAUAAGUAUUUGGAGAUUUUGCAUUUUGUCCCGGUUCAUGAAAUUGCUGAAUUCAGUAAACCUUUUCCUUCUUCUAGCAGAAGCAUUUUCAGGCGAGAAGAGAUCUUCUCAUUCCCUAAAAUAUCUCGAAAGAGAUUCAGACCAUUGAACACCUAUAGGAGGAUAAGAAAAUAAAGGGAUGUAUUGGCAUGGAUUCUUGGCUAGAUGAGAUGAAACCCUUCCAUGUAGAGCGAAAUAUGCGAGCUGUAUCAUAACUCACAAGUUCAAGAAUAAAGAAGUAAGAAUUGCUACCUUAGGAAUUCCACAUGUGGGGACAAACUGUUGGGAGCAUGACUGAAUAUAAUAAUAGGAUGCAUUGUUUCCUAUUAAGAUUUUUUGGGUCUAUUGGCGAUGAUGCAAGUAUUGUCUUUAGAAAUUCAUGAGAGAGUUCGUUAGGAUGGUCAUAUAGGUCUUUAUUUUGCUGUUACAAGUCGUGUGCGCUUUGGAUGAAAUAUGUUACUGCCAUAUUCAUUGGACAAGUGUUCUAACGUGUGUAUUAUUUCCAGGGAACCAUAACAUGUGAUUGUUGUUGUUUA